AAUCUUGCGCAAUGGGCGAAAGCCUGACGCAGCCAUGCCGCGUGAAUGAUGAAGGUCUUAGGAUUGUAAAGCUCUUUCACCGAUGAAGCUAAUGACGGUAGUCGGAGAAGAAGCCCCGGCUAACUUCGUGCCAGCAGCCGCGGUAAUACGAAGGGGGCUAGCGUUGUUCGGAUUUACUGGGCGUAAAGCGCACGUAGGCGGAUUGGUCAGUUAGAGGUGAAAUCCCGAAGCUCAACUUCGGAACUGCCUUUAAUACUGCCAGUCUCGAGUCCGGAAGAGGUAAGUGGAACUCCUAGUGUAGAGGUGGAAUUCGUAGAUAUUAGGAAGAACACCAGUGGCGAAGGCGGCUUACUGGUCCGGAACUGACGCUGAGGUGCGAAAGCGUGGGGAGCAAACA
This 397-nucleotide ribosomal RNA is filed under the name uncultured bacterium. Its description in RNAcentral is "partial 16S ribosomal RNA". It matches the Rfam family "Bacterial small subunit ribosomal RNA", at positions 360 to 774 of the family's 1533-position model. The record is from RNAcentral.